RNAcentral lists this long non-coding RNA (221 nucleotides) under Phoenix dactylifera (date palm). Its description in RNAcentral is "long non-coding RNA (PDAC_LNC010277)". The record is from RNAcentral. Lineage: Eukaryota; Viridiplantae; Streptophyta; Magnoliopsida; Arecales; Arecaceae.
UCACUGUCGCCUGGUGAAAAUAUCUGGUGUUCCUGUCCCCCUCCAUAAUCCACUGUACCCUCGCCUUCUGUCUCCAAAAUAUCUCCUGCUGUCUAAGUAGGCCAUCAUGCAGAGCAAGUAAGGAUCUAAGCUCCCCCAUAACCUCAUCUGACAGACCCCCCCCCCUCGAGCCUCCUGAUCCUGUAACCUAACAAUGGCCACCUCUGACUCCUCAAUCCUCC